Molecule: long non-coding RNA, 675 nt
Organism: Helianthus annuus (common sunflower)
Lineage: Eukaryota; Viridiplantae; Streptophyta; Magnoliopsida; Asterales; Asteraceae
Exons: 2
Source: RefSeq, a predicted model, not a curated record
AGAAACCAACUCUCAUUUCCAAGUUCCAACUCUCUACUCCAUCUCUCUACCAACAACAUCGCCUCCUCCUUCCACCACCACCAACACCGUCGUAACCUACUUCCACCACCACCACCGCCGCCGUAAACUCUCAUCCCCACAGCCGGAUCCGGAUCCAGAUCGGAAAUAAUUAGAAUUAAACAUCACUCUUCCUCUAUCUUUCCACCAGGUGGGUGGUGAUCGUUGAAGGUUGAUGAAGGAUGGUGGCAAGUGGUGGUCCGGUGGUAGUGGUGGUUGUUGGGAGCUACGGUGGUGGAGGGUCUAGCUGAAAACAUGAAUAAUCAAAGCCAAAGCCAAUUUCAGAUCUUGUUCAAGAAGGUGAAUAAGUAUGUUUUUUUCAGCUUUGUUUGGAAAUCUACACUUUGAAGAUGAUGUUUCAGAUGUUGAAGAUGAUGUUUCAGAUGUUGAAGAUGAUUCAAAAGAUGUUUGAUGUUGAACAUAGUUACGAAAUGUAACAAUCAAAGAAAAAAUGUCUGUUACAUUUUUUUGUGUUAGAAAUGUAACAAUCAAUCAAAGCAAAAAUGCCUGAGAUUUAUGUAGACUUUUGCUGUGUUGAAUCUGAGAAUUUUAUAUGUUAUGGAUUUUUUGGUUUUGUUUUUACCAUGUUACAUUUUAUUUUUGCCUCAGAUUUUUGUA